Molecule: ribosomal RNA, 254 nt
Filed under: uncultured bacterium
Lineage: Bacteria
Description: partial 16S ribosomal RNA
Rfam family: Bacterial small subunit ribosomal RNA
Source: RNAcentral
GUACGGGGGGGGCAAGCGUUGUUCGGAAUUAUUGGGCGUAAAGAGCUCGUAGGCGGUUUGUCGCGUCUGCCGUGAAAGUCCGGGGCUCAACUCCGGAUCUGCGGUGGGUACGGGCAGACUAGAGUGAUGUAGGGGAGACUGGAAUUCCUGGUGUAGCGGUGAAAUGCGCAGAUAUCAGGAGGAACACCGAUGGCGAAGGCAGGUCUCUGGGCAUUAACUGACGCUGAGGAGCGAAAGCAUGGGGAGCGAACAGG